GGUUAAGUGAAUAAGGGCGCACGGUGGAUGCCUUGGCACUAGGAGCCGAUGAAGGACGGGACUAACACCGAUAUGCUUUGGGGAGCUGUAAGUAAGCUAUGAUCCAGAGAUUUCCGAAUGGGGGAACCCAAUAUCUUUUAUAGGAUAUUACUUUUCAGUGAAUACAUAGCUGAUUAGAGGUAGACGCAGAGAACUGAAACAUCUUAGUACCUGCAGGAAGAGAAAGAAAAUUCGAUUCCCUGAGUAGCGGCGAGCGAAACGGGAAGAGCCCAAACCAACAAGCUUGCUUGUUGGGGUUGUAGGACUCCAAUAUGGUAGUCUGUUAGUAUAGUUGAAGGAUUUGGAAAAUUCCGCUAAAGAGGGUGAAAGCCCCGUAGACGAAAUGCUGACAACACCUAGGAGGAUCCUGAGUACGGCGGAACACGAGAAAUUCCGUCGGAAUCCGCGGGGACCAUCCCGCAAGGCUAAAUACUCCCUAGUGACCGAUAGUGAACCAGUACCGUGAGGGAAAGGUGAAAAGCACCCCGGAAGGGGAGUGAAAUAGAUCCUGAAACCGUGUGCCUACAACAAGUCAAAGCUCGUUAAUGAGUGAUGGCGUGCCUUUUGUAGAAUGAACCGGCGAGUUACGAUUGCAUGCGAGGUUAAGU
This 647-nucleotide ribosomal RNA is filed under the name Enterococcus faecalis. Its description in RNAcentral is "partial 23S ribosomal RNA". It matches the Rfam family "Bacterial large subunit ribosomal RNA", at positions 1 to 651 of the family's 2925-position model. The record is from RNAcentral. Lineage: Bacteria; Bacillati; Bacillota; Bacilli; Lactobacillales; Enterococcaceae.